This 467-nucleotide ribosomal RNA is filed under the name uncultured bacterium. RNAcentral's name for it is "partial 16S ribosomal RNA". It matches the Rfam family "Bacterial small subunit ribosomal RNA", at positions 28 to 507 of the family's 1533-position model. The record is from RNAcentral.
GACGAACGCUGGCGGCGUGCUUAACACAUGCAAGUCGAACGGAAAGGCCUCUUUCGGGGGGUACUCGAGUGGCGAACGGGUGAGUAACACGUGAGUAACCUGCCCUUGACUUUGGGAUAACUUUAGGAAACUGGGGCUAAUACCGGAUAGGAGCUCCUGCUGCAUGGUGGGGGUUGGAAAGUUUCGGCGGUUGGGGAUGGACUCGCGGCUUAUCAGCUUGUUGGUGGGGUAGUGGCUUACCAAGGCUUUGACGGGUAGCCGGCCUGAGAGGGUGACCGGCCACAUUGGGACUGGGAUACGGCCCAGACUCCUACGGGGGGCAGCAGGUGGGAAUAUUGCACAAUGGGUGGGAGCCUGAUGCAGCAACGCCGUGUGCGGGAUGACGGCCUUCGGGUUGGAAACCGCCUUCGCUCAUGACGGAGCUUUGUGUGACGGUAGUGGGUAAAGAAGCACCGGCUAACUACGUG